UAAAUUAAAGCCAAAAAGAGGCAUUUUAUUGUUAAUAAAAUUAUUGAAUAAAAUUCUAAUUUAU
RNAcentral lists this transfer RNA (64 nucleotides) under Melipona bicolor. RNAcentral's name for it is "tRNA-Asn". Lineage: Eukaryota; Metazoa; Arthropoda; Insecta; Hymenoptera; Apidae. RNAcentral also lists the same sequence under 2 other names. The record is from RNAcentral.